UUACAAUCUGGGAGCUGAGAGAGCUCAGUGAAGGUUUCACAAAGAAGGUAUUGGGGACCCUUUUUGGCAUGAGAGUUGCAGUGGCACUGAGAUGACAGGAAUAAGUGAGCAAAGCCUGUUUGAGGUCUAGGAAGAAGAGGUGUGGUAACGGUACCUUAAGAACUGGAGAAACUUCUGGACCUUCACUGCCAAUGCACAACCAUCACCGCCACCAAGCUUCAGCAAUCUCUCCCUUGGACAGCUACCUGCUGUGAAAAUACUUGCUUAAUGUAGUUCCUCUUGAAAAUGUUGUUCCUGCAUUAUGACUUUCAUUACACAUUUCCCAAUGA
Molecule: long non-coding RNA, 329 nt
Filed under: Homo sapiens (human)
Lineage: Eukaryota; Metazoa; Chordata; Mammalia; Primates; Hominidae
Description: HSALNT0292073
Source: RNAcentral